GAUGAACGCUGGCGGCGUGCCUAAUACAUGCAAGUCGAGCGAACAGACGAGGAGCUUGCUCCUCUGACGUUAGCGGCGGACGGGUGAGUAACACGUGGAUAACCUACCUAUAAGACUGGGAUAACUUCGGGAAACCGGAGCUAAUACUGGAUAAUAUAUUGAACCGCAUGGUUCAAUAGUGAAAGACGGUUUUGCUGUCACUUAUAGAUGGAUCCGCGCCGCAUUAGCUAGUUGGUAAGGUAACGGCUUACCAAGGCAACGAUGCGUAGCCGACCUGAGAGGGUGAUCGGCCACACUGGAACUGAGACACGGUCCAGACUCCUACGGGAGGCAGCAGUAGGGAAUCUUCCGCAAUGGGCGAAAGCCUGACGGAGCAACGCCGCGUGAGUGAUGAAGGUCUUCGGAUCGUAAAACUCUGUUAUUAGGGAAGAACAAAUGUGUAAGUAGCUAUGCACGUCUUGACGGUACCUAAUCAGAAAGCCACGGCUAACUACGUG
RNAcentral lists this ribosomal RNA (497 nucleotides) under uncultured bacterium. RNAcentral describes it as "partial 16S ribosomal RNA". It matches the Rfam family "Bacterial small subunit ribosomal RNA", at positions 28 to 507 of the family's 1533-position model. The record is from RNAcentral.